Molecule: long non-coding RNA, 730 nt
Organism: Vulpes vulpes (red fox)
Lineage: Eukaryota; Metazoa; Chordata; Mammalia; Carnivora; Canidae
Source: Ensembl
CUACUCCCCACGUGGUGAUUAUUGGAAAAGUUGGGAGGGGGAGGAAAAUAUUUUAGUCUAAGUGUAAGGGGUGUUGUGCUGCGAGAACACAGAGUGGUACAGGGCAUUCUCCUAAAGCGAUCCUCGCUCUCAGACUGCAGUGAUUUCCAGCAGGGCUGGAUGGGAAGGGAACGGCGGGCUCUGUAGUAACCAGCAUGUCUGGUCUCAACACGUCAGGCAAGAGGCUCGGGAUGUAGAGGAGUCACGUCUGAAAGGCAGACUGAGGUGCUCUCGGUAACUUCAGACUUCGGAGCCGUCCCCCCCUCGGAAACCACGGUCAGCAUCGUGCUCUGUGGAAAAGCCUGCAGUGGUUUAUCACCGGUGGUGGUUCUGCCCUAGACUCUCCGUCUACACAGUGAGCUGACGGUGACGGCGCUGGAGGGCAGGGGCGGAUGGAGUGGGGAUGUAUAGGGAGAGGCGAUCAACACGUGCCAUGGGCUCUCCACAGCAGAAAUAGCCCUGCAUGUGUGGAGAAAUAGACUGCGGAACAGCGUUUUUGCUUCAUGGCCACCAACUCUUCUGCAAAAAGAGAAGCUCACGCGGAGGUGGAGGCCAAGGUGUGUGCGGCUGCCGCCUGGACAUCUGUGCGAUCGACGCCGACGUUGGAAGAGUCGUAGAGUGUGGUAUGUUGACACAAACGGGGCCUUGUACUUUUGUUAGGAAUGCAGGGAACGUUACCUGAAAACAAGCG